ACAAACAGACCUGUGUUUCAAAUGUGGAACUGUGUAGUUGCUCCUUGUAUAGAUGAUACUAACUUUUUAUAUACUUUAAAUGUGGUAAUUGAGAAAGCCAUGUUACAUUUUUCAGAUGAUAUUUUUUAAAAAUCUUCAUGUUUGUUCAGACUUGAAUGUUUCUAUAUAGUUUUCUAUAUAGUUCAAUUUAUAAAUUGUUAGGAUCAAUAUAUAGCUCACUAAUGAGGCAGGAAUUUGAGUUUAUUCUUUAUUAUAGAUAUGAAUCUUGUAACUGUGAAUGUCACAGUUGUUUCUUCUAAUAUUUGUGCUUGGCCACAGACUCUAUUCUAGUUCCAGGAGUUUUGAACUAAUAUCAGCUGUUGGUAUCUCCAGUGUUAGUGAUAUCAAAAAUUUAAGAUGGGAGCAUUUGAAUAUGCUAAAUAGCUUAUAAAGAAAUUACUAUAUAUUGUUAUAAUGAUCUAUGAUCCCUAGUUGUUCAUCUUAAACCUCUCAUGCUUCACAGGGAACAGUGUGUUUAUUUAUAAACUUACAGCUGUUCUUCUGCGAGAACCAAUUUAUUUGAUGAAAUGACUAGACCCUGGUCGUGGCAAAUAGCACCUUUUUGAAAUCUCUGAAAUAAAAGUAAUAUAGGACACAGAUAGACAUGUGGCUAUCCUCUGAAAAGCAUGUCAGAAACAACAGUUUAUCUUCUCCUUGGAAACAAAGAGUUAAUACUGACUAUAAUAAUAUAACAUGUGCCCUUUCUGGUGUUUUUCUCCAACUCAACCACUUCUAACAAAAUUACAUGAAUACACUUUAUGACUGUAUUAGACAUGAUCUCUCUUACAUACAGUUGGCCAUGUAUUUUCUUUAGUUCAUCUAGAUAAUUGAAAUAUAUUAUAACUAAAUGAGUGGUUUGGUUGGUUUUAGUAAGAGUAUAUUUUCGUGUUUUGGUGGUUCUAACAGUUUUACUUAUAAUUUUAAAUCUCCAAAAGCUACCUAGGUGAUUCUAGAGAAAGGUUUCUUUAAAUGUUAUCAUUCAUAAGCACAUCUUUUAGAAAAUUUAAAGUAGGUCUUUUGUAUUCAAAAAGGAGGUAAAAUGGUUAAGUGGCAUUUCCCUCCAUGCCAGUUUCAUGUUGAUUUUAUGGAAGUUCUGUAGCCAUUUUAAGUUCACAUGCAUAGAUCACAGCUUUAUUGUAAAACCGUACACACUCUGUACGAGUAAAGAGCCUAAUAGUAAUUUGAGAUGUCUUAAUAGAGUCUAAUAAUAAUUUGAGAUGUUCAGCCUUUUCAGGUACAAACUUGGAAUGAAAAAUUGUUAACUUAC
Molecule: long non-coding RNA, 1306 nt
Filed under: Mus musculus (house mouse)
Lineage: Eukaryota; Metazoa; Chordata; Mammalia; Rodentia; Muridae
Description: long non-coding RNA chr6:83974631-83975937
Source: RNAcentral